GUGCGCUGACGAUGGUUGACGAAGGAGAAGAAGAAGAAGAAACGGUUGUUGUAAAUCUCGUGAAUGCACGUAGACAGUGUUUUGAUGCCAGAGCUGACUGAUGGGUGCACAUGGUUCAUUCGUAUGUUCUUCCUUUGAAAAAAUAAACGUAUUUUGAUGCCAGAGCUGACUGAUGGGUGCACAUGGUUCCUUCGUAUGUUCUUCCUUUGAAAAAAUAAACGUAUUUUGAUGCCUGAGCUGACUGAUGGGUGCACAUGGUUCCUUCGUAUGUUCUUCCUUUGAAAAAAU
Ornithodoros turicata is the source of this 288-nucleotide long non-coding RNA. RefSeq lists it as uncharacterized. NCBI's taxonomy places the organism in Eukaryota, Metazoa, Arthropoda, Arachnida, Ixodida, Argasidae. The record is from RefSeq and is a predicted model, not a curated record. The transcript is spliced from 4 exons.